Amphiprion ocellaris (clown anemonefish) is the source of this 2467-nucleotide long non-coding RNA. The record is from Ensembl. Lineage: Eukaryota; Metazoa; Chordata; Actinopteri; Pomacentridae.
AUGACACCAAGCUGUGAAUGCUGUUCAGAGGAACUACACUGUGCUGGAAGAAUACUGCAAGAGAGAAUCCAGCGAUAACAGAUCCAGUGGCAAAUUACUGCUACAAAAAGAUGAGUGAUUCAAAGUUCAAGGUUACUGUCACUGCUAUGGGAGAUGUUUUGGGCGAGCUGGCACAACUCUGCCUCACUUUACAAAGAUGCAAUCUGACUGUGAUGGAAGGGCACUGCUUUGCAAAAGCAAAGAUUGAGAAGUUGCGUUCCCAAUACUUGAAUGAUGACAAGUAUGUUCAGUGGAGUGACCGUGGCAAAGAGGUAAUGAUGACCUCAUCACCUGAUGGCAGAAAUACUGGUGAGACUACUUCUUUUUAUUCGUAAGCUCUGUGAUCACUUGGAUGCUUGUUUUCCAGAGGAUGAAUUGAAGGAGUGGUCUGCAUUGGACAUCGAAGCAUUGAGCUCAGACAUCAGUUUUGAGUAUGGAUCAGCAGACAUUGCUACAAUGGCAAAAAAGUAUGGACCCAUUUUCCACCACCCACAUUCAAUGGAGGCCAUUAACAGUGAAUAUGCAGAAUUCAAGCACAUAAUGAAACAAAAACUUAAACAACAGUCAAUCAGUAUAUUCUCAGAUAUGUUGGCUGCAACACUUAGAUGUAAGGAGCUAAAGGAGAUCUUACAGCUUGUGGAUAUUUGUGCUACAGUGCAGAUUGUGAAAGAGGCUUUAGUUCAAUGAAUCAUAUCAAAGCAGCAUCCAGAAAUCAUCUUGAAGUGGCACAUUUGAACCAGCUGAUGUGCAAAAAGUCAAAACCAGAAACAGAUCAGGCCAUCAACCUGGACAAAGUGUGCAACCAUUGGAGAAGCAAGAAGGACAGAUGGGACAAAUAAGGACCCCCACCCAGACCAGAGCAGGACCCUCACCCGGACCAGAGCAGGACCCUCACCCGGACCAGAGCAGGACCCUCACCCGGACCAGAGCAGGACCCUCACCCAGACCAGAGCAGGACCCUCACCCAGAACAGAGCAGGACCCUCACCCAGAACAGAGCAGGACCCUCACCCAGACCAGAGCAGGACCCCCACCCAGACCAGAGCAGGACCCUCACCCGGACCAGAGCAGGACCCCCACCCAGACCAGAGCAGGACCCCCACCCGGGGGUCACAGAUGCUGAGAGGAAAACAGGACAAAGGAUUUCUAUUUGAAACCUUUUCAAAGUUCAUUUUAAUCUGCAAACUAAAAUCAACCAUCAGGGACACAACAUAUAACUGACAGAUGUAAUUAUAAAGGAGUCAUAAGAAUAAGUUAGAGGCAGUUUUCUUACUUUGUCUCUGAGGGUUUAGGUUCUUUACUGAAGUCUGGAGGAUGAUCGUUGGAUCGGUCGCUCUUCAUAGACAGACAGCUGGAGGCUGGAAACUCCUCCUCACUCAUCUUGAGGACUUCAGUCUGAGAGGAAAACCAGCAACACUGACUAUGAGCUCAGGAAAUAAUAACAGUCAAAAUAACACACAAGUUCAUAUUUGUCUUCAUUCAGGUUUUUUGUGUCCACAGACAGUGAACUCUGAAAAAAGUCCUCAGAGAGAAAAGUGACUCAGUGACUGAGACUCUCACCUGCCUCCAUAAUCAGGUUUCUUCCUCUGACUGAGUCUGAACUAACAGACAGCUGCAGUGUUUCCUCCCUGUUCUCAUGUUACUGGAUCAUCUGAUCAGUGUUGCUCCUCCUCUCCAUUUACAGCUCAGUGCUGAGCUCUGAGAUCAGUUUGUUUGUUUGUCUGCAGUAUUCCACCAAAACUACCAGCUCACAUUUCAUGACAUGUGGAGGAGAGGUGGAGUGAGGCCAAAGGAAGAACCAACAAAAUACAUGGAAUAUGAUGAUUUCUGCAUAUUGUUCAGCUCUGGUGUUCAUUCAAAUGUACAUGAUGCACCUGAACGUCUCUUUGGCUUGAACAAACAAAGGUUCUGGUCCAGAUGUUAACACCUUGUUUCAUUGUUAAGUUUAAAUUGACUAAAUAAAUCAAUUUAAAACGCAUCCUCUGCAAAGGCAAUGUUCUGUUUCAUAGUUUUAAAAAGUAAAGUUUAAUAGUUCUUCCUGUGCUGAUGCUCCACCUCAUUCAUAGAGAUGAACACAGCUGCUGCUGGAGACAAAAUGUCCUUGUGGCUCCAAACUUGAUGAUUUCUGCUGCAGGACACUGAUCACUGUAGUCUACAGUAACACAGGUCCUCUGCUGACCAACACUAAGCGAAGAUAAAAACGGAGAAAAGCUGCAGAUGAUCUGCUGAAUAUAUGGUAGGAAAGUAUGUAUUCAAAACUUUACAGCUGAAUCAGAAAGUGGAUCAAUAAUCUGUCGCAUGGAUCGAAAUCAAUAUUCACACAGUGACAGACAACCAUGUUGGAAGAUCUUUGGAGAAAACCUGAAUCCUGAUCAAACCAAAUCCUGGAACCAAACAACAGCUGACCAGAGUCAUGAUGAAGAGAAAAC